CAAGAGCGUAUAUUAAAGUUGUUGCAGUUAAAAGCUCGUAGUUGGAUUUCUGGUACAACGCGCCUGGCCCGCUUACGUGAGUGCCGGUGCGCGUUUGCCAUCCUUCUAGAAAACGUCUCUACUCGGGCAACUGAGCCGGAUUCGCGAUCUAGAUCUUUUACUUUUGAAAAAUUAGAGUGUUUAAAGCAGGCUAUUGCCUUGAAUACAUUAGCAUGGAAUAAUAAUCUAGGACUUCGGUUCUAUUUUGUUGGUUUCUAGUACUGAAGUAAUGAUUGAUAGGGAUAGUUGGGGGUGCUAGUAUUGACCGGCCAGAGGUGAAAUUCUUGGACCGUUUGAAGACAAACUACUGCGAAAGCAUUUGCCAAGAAUGUUUUCAUUAAUCAAGAACGAAAGUUAAAGGUUCGAAGAUGAUCAGAUACC
Molecule: ribosomal RNA, 420 nt
Filed under: uncultured eukaryote
Lineage: Eukaryota
Description: bacterial SSU rRNA
Rfam family: Eukaryotic small subunit ribosomal RNA
Source: RNAcentral